AAUACUUAGGAAUCUGCCCAUUAAUGGGGGACAACAGUUGGAAACGACUGCUAAUACCGCAUACGCCCUACGGGGGAAAGCAGGGGAUCUUCGGACCUUGCGUUAAUGGAUGAGCCUAAGUCGGAUUAGCUAGUUGGUGGGGUAAAGGCCUACCAAGGCGACGAUCUGUAGCGGGUCUGAGAGGAUGAUCCGCCACACUGGGACUGAGACACGGCCCAGACUCCUACGGGAGGCAGCAGUGGGGAAUAUUGGACAAUGGGGGGAACCCUGAUCCAGCCAUGCCGCGUGUGUGAAGAAGGCCUUUUGGUUGUAAAGCACUUUAAGCGAGGAGGAGGCUACUAGUAUUAAUACUACUGGAUAGUGGACGUUACUCGCAGAAUAAGCACCGGCUAACUCUGUGCCAGCAGCCGCGGUAAUACAGAGGGUGCGAGCGUUAAUCGGAUUUACUGGGCGUAAAGCGUGCGUAGGUGGCCAAUUAAGUCAAAUGUGAAAUCCCCGAGCUUAACUUGGGAAUUGCAUUCGAUACUGGUUGGCUAGAGUAUGGGAGAGGAUGGUAGAAUUCCAGGUGUAGCGGUGAAAUGCGUAGAGAUCUGGAGG
Molecule: ribosomal RNA, 597 nt
Filed under: uncultured bacterium
Lineage: Bacteria
Description: bacterial SSU rRNA
Rfam family: Bacterial small subunit ribosomal RNA
Source: RNAcentral